UAUACAUAAGGCUGCAUAGGAGAGGCCACA
This 30-nucleotide non-coding RNA is filed under the name Mus musculus (house mouse). The record is from RNAcentral. Lineage: Eukaryota; Metazoa; Chordata; Mammalia; Rodentia; Muridae.